This 259-nucleotide ribosomal RNA is filed under the name uncultured bacterium. RNAcentral's name for it is "partial 16S ribosomal RNA". It matches the Rfam family "Bacterial small subunit ribosomal RNA", at positions 524 to 781 of the family's 1533-position model. The record is from RNAcentral.
UACGGAGGGUGCAAGCGUUAUCCGGAUUCACUGGGUGUAAAGGGUGCGCAGGCGGACUGGUUAGUCUGGGGUGAAAUCUCAUCGCUUAACGGUGAAACUGCCUUAGAUACUGCCAGUCUUGAAUCAGCGAGAGGUUCGUGGAAUUCCGAGUGUAGCAGUGAAAUGUGUAGAUAUUCGGAAGAACACCAGUGGCGAAGGCAGCGAACUGGCGCUCGAUUGACGCUCAGGCACGAAAGCAUGGGGAUCAAACAGGAGUUAG